This 249-nucleotide long non-coding RNA is filed under the name Ricinus communis (castor bean). RNAcentral describes it as "long non-coding RNA (RCOM_LNC001504)". Lineage: Eukaryota; Viridiplantae; Streptophyta; Magnoliopsida; Malpighiales; Euphorbiaceae. The record is from RNAcentral.
CCUUAUAUUUUUAUUAGUAAAAGGGCGUUAACCUAUCUAUAGUAAGGGGCUUUUUUUUUUCUUGCUGUUAGCGCUUUAGUUUUCUUUUCAAUAAGGAUGUUUAGGUUUUACUAAUAGAAAAUAGAAUAGAUAGGGCUUUUCUCGAUUGUUUAGUAUUGCUUUGUUUCACCGUCCGUUUAAUAAUAUAUUUAAUAAUAAAUUAAAUUUUUUAAAUUAUAUUAUUAAAUAUUUAAUUAUAUAACAAAAUUU